RNAcentral lists this ribosomal RNA (343 nucleotides) under uncultured delta proteobacterium. RNAcentral describes it as "bacterial SSU rRNA". It matches the Rfam family "Bacterial small subunit ribosomal RNA", at positions 430 to 769 of the family's 1533-position model. Lineage: Bacteria; Deltaproteobacteria. The record is from RNAcentral.
GCUCUGUCGGGAGGGACGAAUAGAGUGGUGUAAUGGCCACUUCUGACGGUACCUCCAAAGGAAGCACCGGCUAACUCUGUGCCAGCAGCCGCGGUAAUACAGAGGGUGCAAGCGUUGUUCGGAAUUACUGGGCGUAAAGCGCGUGUAGGCGGCGUCGUGAGUCAUAUGUGAAAGCCCUCGGCUCAACCGAGGAAGUGCAUGUGAUACUGCGAUGCUUGAGUGUUGGAGGGGGUGGCGGAAUUCCCGGUGUAGAGGUGAAAUUCGUAGAUAUCGGGAGGAACACCUGUGGCGAAGGCGGCCACCUGGACAACAACUGACGCUGAGACGCGAAAGCGUGGGUAGC